AGUGGGAGGCAAGGAGUGCCUGCAGGCUGUGCUGACGAAGGCUGCUAUCCUUACUGCGCCAGGAUCUUCGGCACGCGUCGCUUCCCUGGGUGAUGCAGCCAGCUGGACCUCGUUAUUUCACAGGUAAAGACUGGGAAAAACAAUAUGGAGGACACCACUUAUCCACUUAUCCAGUCCUGCAGAAGAAGGCCUGCCUUUUUCUCUGUUCGAGACCCAUACGACUUGUAUGUCACAUUUCAAUAUCCACAGCCCUGGCUUCUUGGCUGUUUCUGCUUCUUGGCUGUGCUUCUGUUCUCUCCAAAUAAAUCAGCAUCAAGCAUUGCCACUCCUUCCAUCAUACUGUAACUUGUCACCUCCCAG
Molecule: long non-coding RNA, 360 nt
Organism: Sphaerodactylus townsendi
Lineage: Eukaryota; Metazoa; Chordata; Lepidosauria; Squamata; Sphaerodactylidae
Exons: 3
Source: RefSeq, a predicted model, not a curated record